CGGGACGUGGCGCAGCUUGGUAGCGCGCCUGGUUCGGGACUAGGAGGUCGCGGGUUCAAAUCCCGCCGUCCCGACCA
Molecule: transfer RNA, 77 nt
Filed under: Verrucomicrobiota bacterium
Lineage: Bacteria; Pseudomonadati; Verrucomicrobiota
Also listed under: 1 other name
Description: tRNA-Pro
Rfam family: tRNA
About the family: Transfer RNA (tRNA) molecules are approximately 80 nucleotides in length. Their secondary structure includes four short double-helical elements and three loops (D, anti-codon, and T loops). Further hydrogen bonds mediate the characteristic L-shaped molecular structure. tRNAs have two regions of fundamental functional importance: the anti-codon, which is responsible for specific mRNA codon recognition, and the 3' end, to which the tRNAs corresponding amino acid is attached (by aminoacyl-tRNA synthetases). tRNAs cope with the degeneracy of the genetic code in two manners: having more than one tRNA (with a specific anti-codon) for a particular amino acid; and 'wobble' base-pairing, i.e. permitting non-standard base-pairing at the 3rd anti-codon position.
Source: RNAcentral